GGCUCUGUGGCGCAAUGGAUAGCGCAUUGGACUUAUAGUGUAUUGAAGGCAUUCAAAGGUUGUGGGUUCGAGUCCCACCAGAGUCG
This 86-nucleotide transfer RNA is filed under the name Pelobates cultripes (western spadefoot toad). RNAcentral's name for it is "tRNA.Ile". It matches the Rfam family "tRNA". Rfam says of the family: Transfer RNA (tRNA) molecules are approximately 80 nucleotides in length. Their secondary structure includes four short double-helical elements and three loops (D, anti-codon, and T loops). Further hydrogen bonds mediate the characteristic L-shaped molecular structure. tRNAs have two regions of fundamental functional importance: the anti-codon, which is responsible for specific mRNA codon recognition, and the 3' end, to which the tRNAs corresponding amino acid is attached (by aminoacyl-tRNA synthetases). tRNAs cope with the degeneracy of the genetic code in two manners: having more than one tRNA (with a specific anti-codon) for a particular amino acid; and 'wobble' base-pairing, i.e. permitting non-standard base-pairing at the 3rd anti-codon position. The record is from RNAcentral. Lineage: Eukaryota; Metazoa; Chordata; Amphibia; Anura; Pelobatidae.